UGUUGAAGGUUCAAAAUCCAC
Caenorhabditis elegans is the source of this 21-nucleotide non-coding RNA. The record is from Ensembl. Lineage: Eukaryota; Metazoa; Nematoda; Chromadorea; Rhabditida; Rhabditidae.